RNAcentral lists this ribosomal RNA (1169 nucleotides) under uncultured Bacteroides sp. Its description in RNAcentral is "bacterial SSU rRNA". It matches the Rfam family "Bacterial small subunit ribosomal RNA", at positions 10 to 1177 of the family's 1533-position model. Lineage: Bacteria; Pseudomonadati; Bacteroidota; Bacteroidia; Bacteroidales; Bacteroidaceae. The record is from RNAcentral.
AGUUUGAUCCUGGCUCAGGAUGAACGCUAGCUACAGGCUUAACACAUGCAAGUCGAGGGGCAGCAUUGGAGUAGCAAUACUUCAGAUGGCGACCGGCGCACGGGUGAGUAACACGUAUCCAACCUGCCGCUUACUCGGGGAUAGCCUUUCGAAAGAAAGAUUAAUACCCGAUGGUAUAAAGAGUUCGCAUGUUCUCUUUAUUAAAGAAUUUCGGUAAGCGAUGGGGAUGCGUUCCAUUAGAUUGUUGGCGGGGUAACGGCCCACCAAGUCUACGAUGGAUAGGGGUUCUGAGAGGAAGGUCCCCCACAUUGGAACUGAGACACGGUCCAAACUCCUACGGGAGGCAGCAGUGAGGAAUAUUGGUCAAUGGACGAGAGUCUGAACCAGCCAAGUAGCGUGAAGGAUGACUGCCCUAUGGGUUGUAAACUUCUUUUAUAAGGGAAUAAAGUGAGGGACGUGUCCCUUUUUGUAUGUACCUUAUGAAUAAGGAUCGGCUAACUCCGUGCCAGCAGCCGCGGUAAUACGGAGGAUCCGAGCGUUAUCCGGAUUUAUUGGGUUUAAAGGGAGCGUAGGUUGACGUAUAAGUCAGCUGUGAAAGUUUACGGCUCAACCGUGAAAUUGCAGUUGAUACUGUAUGUCUUGAGUGUACAAGAGGUGGGCGGAAUUCGUGGUGUAGCGGUGAAAUGCUUAGAUAUCACGAAGAACUCCAAUUGCGAAGGCAGCUCACUGGGGUACAACUGACACUGAGGCUCGAAAGUGUGGGUAUCAAACAGGAUUAGAUACCCUGGUAGUCCACACAGUAAACGAUGAAUACUCGCUGUUUGCGAUAUACAGUAAGCGGCCAAGCGAAAGCAUUAAGUAUUCCACCUGGGGAGUACGCCGGCAACGGUGAAACUCAAAGGAAUUGACGGGGGCCCGCACAAGCGGAGGAACAUGUGGUUUAAUUCGAUGAUACGCGAGGAACCUUACCCGGGCUUGAAUUACAGAGGAACAUAGUUGAAAGAUUAUGGCCGCAAGGUCUCUGUGAAGGUGCUGCAUGGUUGUCGUCAGCUCGUGCCGUGAGGUGUCGGCUUAAGUGCCAUAACGAGCGCAACCCUUAUCAUUAGUUACUAACAGGUGAUGCUGAGGACUCUAGUGAGACUGCCGUCGUAAGAUGUGAGGAAGGUGGA